RNAcentral lists this ribosomal RNA (253 nucleotides) under uncultured bacterium. RNAcentral describes it as "partial 16S ribosomal RNA". It matches the Rfam family "Bacterial small subunit ribosomal RNA", at positions 524 to 776 of the family's 1533-position model. The record is from RNAcentral.
UACGUAGGCAGCGAGCGUUGUUCGGAGUUACUGGGCGUAAAGAGUGCGUAGGCGGUUUUCUAAGUUUGGUGUGAAAUCUCCCGGCUUAACUGGGAGGGUGCGCCGAAAACUGGAAGGCUUGAGUAUGGGAGAGGUAAGCGGAAUUCCUGGUGUAGCGGUGAAAUGCGUAGAUAUCGAGAGGAACACCUGCGGCGAAGGCGGGUUGCUGGGCCGACACUGACGCUGAUGCGCGAAAGCCAGGGGAGCGAACGGG